UCAAACUUGGUCAUUUAGAGGAAGUAAAAGUCGUAACAAGGUUUCCGUAGGUGAACCUGCGGAAGGAUCAUUAAAAUGGACCUACAGGGGUCUUAAACCCGUGUCACCAGCUACUCACUACGGUGGGCAACCGCAAUAGUGGUAGCUGCUGUGUGCCCAUAUACCCAUUGUGAAACUUCUACCUUUGCUUCGGCAGCACUCUCAGCGAAAGCUGGAGGGGUAAGGCUGUCAGAAGCCCAUAUCAAACUAGUUUAUGAAAUGUCAUGCUGUCUGAUAACUACUAUUUGAGAAAUCAAAUUUAUCUUAAAACUUUCAGCAACGGAUCUCUUGGUUCUCGCAUCGAUGAAGAACGCAGC
RNAcentral lists this unclassified non-coding RNA (356 nucleotides) under uncultured fungus. Its description in RNAcentral is "partial contains small subunit ribosomal RNA, internal transcribed spacer 1, and 5.8S ribosomal RNA". The stretch from base 1 to 73 matches the Rfam family "Eukaryotic small subunit ribosomal RNA", at positions 1759 to 1831 of the family's 1831-position model. Lineage: Eukaryota; Fungi. The record is from RNAcentral.